CCUGUAAGCCAGGUUUAUUCACCCUCGUCCUAAAAAUUCUUUUGUUUUAAGGGCAGAUUGUUUAAAAAUUGUCCGGAGCAGCCAAAAACUAGAUCUUUAAACAUUUUACAAAAACAGGGGGUAGACGUCCUUUAUUUUUCUUUUUACUAAAACCAGGUAUUAAAAGAGCUCUCUCUAAACCUAAAUAAAGUGGCAGUAGUUUAUCCCAGGCAGAGAGACUCGAGCCUUUAUUUGAUACCCCUCCUUUUAUCUUACUAAUAUUUAUUUUUUGUGUGGCUGUUUUAAAAAAGGCUAGCCCCUGCUUUUAGCUCAAGUUUUAUGAAAACAUAUAUUAGGGAGCUUAAGUCACAAUCCUUUUAUUAUUAUUCCUUUUUAGCUUCCCUGGAUAUUGGAUUUGCCAGUAGGCCCUUAUUAAUAUAAAAGGCUGAACUUGUUAUAAGCUAAGUACAUAUUGUCCGUCACUCUCUUACA
This 471-nucleotide ribosomal RNA is filed under the name Metridia okhotensis. RNAcentral describes it as "partial 12S ribosomal RNA". The record is from RNAcentral. Lineage: Eukaryota; Metazoa; Arthropoda; Copepoda; Calanoida; Metridinidae.